Molecule: long non-coding RNA, 529 nt
Organism: Symphalangus syndactylus (siamang)
Lineage: Eukaryota; Metazoa; Chordata; Mammalia; Primates; Hylobatidae
Source: RefSeq, a predicted model, not a curated record
UGGAUAUCCAAAUCUCUCUCUUCGCAAUGAGUUUCCAGUUAGAUGGAGGAGAGAGUAAUAAAACGCAGAGCUGAGAUUCCUGACUCCACAGAUCCCUGAGGAGAUGUUUACUAAAGGGAAUGUUCUGGCCACUGUUACCUUCCUCUGUACUUACCUGCCUCAUGGAGAACCCGAAAGGAAGAAGCCUAUACGUCUGGGGACACAUGUCCUAGAAGCACACCCCAUUAGAUAAAGUGUUGCAUACUCUUUGAUAAGGGCUUUCCAUUUGAGGUGGAGAGAGCAGGAGAAGCUGGCAUGGGGCAGCUUCUCUCUAACGUCACAUGCUGUAGUGCAACACUGAUUUAAAGUUAUCUGCCUCAGAUCCACAUUGAGAUGGUUAGCUACUAGUACAGAGGAACUUUACUAGGUUAGAGUGCAAUGGCACAAUCUCGGCUCACUGCAACCUCUGCCUCCCAGGUUCAAGCGAUUCUCCUGCCUCAGCCUCCUUAGUAGCUGGGAUUACCAGUGUGCACCACCAUGCCCAGGUAAU